UAUUUUUAAUAAUAUGAUUUUCUUUGUAUUUUGUGUUUUUGAAUUGUUUGUAUUAUUUGAAUUGCUUAUCAUUUGUUUAUGUUUUUUAUUCCAUUCGAGAUUAUAUUUGUGUUUUUAAUAGUGUUCUAUUAUUUUCUGUGUUUUAAUUGUUUAGUGUAAUUCUAAUUUUUUUUUUCCUUUUUAUGGUUUAUGUAAUAGGAGUAAUUUCUAUAUUGGGAUCUCUGAUCGGGAAAUUUUUAAAAUAAAGUAAUUGGAUAUAAUGUUAGGCCGAUGAUGCUAAGGUAAAAACCACAAUCCGAUAUCUUUA
Molecule: long non-coding RNA, 307 nt
Filed under: Capsella rubella
Lineage: Eukaryota; Viridiplantae; Streptophyta; Magnoliopsida; Brassicales; Brassicaceae
Description: long non-coding RNA (CRUB_LNC000733)
Source: RNAcentral